Small nucleolar RNA from Fukomys damarensis (Damara mole-rat), 129 nucleotides. The record is from Ensembl. Lineage: Eukaryota; Metazoa; Chordata; Mammalia; Rodentia; Bathyergidae.
GGGCUCCUGUGCCUUACAGGCUGUGUCCUUACACUGACUGUACAGAAAGUAGAGGCAGAGGAGACCUCCUCCAUCUGCACCUCCGCCCAGACCUGGUGCCUGGUCUGUAUCAGGCGUGCAGAGACAUGG